GAGCUAGACCUGGGUGGCUGCCAGUGUGCGCUCCGGGAGGCGGGAAGGUCUCAAAAUCGCCAGGCUAGAACGUCACCUGGUCGAAAUGUAAGGGUCGGGAAGGUCCCCCUCUACCACCGCGUGACAUCCAAAACGCCUGAGAUUCGUGCCCAGCGCAUCCACUGCGAUGCCAGGAGACCGAGGCCGCCAGAAGGGUGAUACCUCCCAGCAGCCACGCCAGGCUGAGACUUCGCAUCCCCGGACGUGGGGCGGGUGGGCAAUCCGCCACCAGUGGUUCGAAACUCGGAGCCCUAGUCGGAGCACAGGAUUUCUCCACGACUUGCAUAACAUAUUCAUCUAGACGCUGGGAAGAUGGCUCUCUGGUUAAGAACACUGGCUGCUCUUCCACAGAUCCUGAGUUCAAUUCCCAGCAACCACAGGUUGGCUCACGAUAAAAGGAGCUGAGGCCCUCUUCUGGCAUGCAAGUGUACAUGCAGACAGAGCACACAUACCUUAAAAAAAAAAUGAAAAUAAAGUAAAAUAUUCACCUAGCA
Molecule: long non-coding RNA, 533 nt
Organism: Mastomys coucha (southern multimammate mouse)
Lineage: Eukaryota; Metazoa; Chordata; Mammalia; Rodentia; Muridae
Exons: 3
Source: RefSeq, a predicted model, not a curated record